CCCUACGGGAGGCUGCAGUGGGGAAUCUUGCGCAAUGGGGGCAACCCUGACGCAGCCAUGCCGCGUGAAUGAUGAAGGCCUUAGGGUUGUAAAGUUCUUUUGCCCGUGACGAUGAUGACGGUAACGGGAGAAUAAGCUCCGGCUAACUUCGUGCCAGCAGCCGCGGUAAUACGAAGGGGGCUAGCGUUGUUCGGAAUUACUGGGCGUAAAGCGCGCGCAGGCGGUUCGAUAAGUUAGGGGUGAAAUCCCCGGGCUCAACCCGGGAAUGGCCUUUAAGACUGUCGAGCUAGAGGACGAGAGAGGUGAGUGGAAUUCCCAGUGUAGAGGUGAAAUUCGUAGAUAUUGGGAAGAACACCGGUGGCGAAGGCGGCUCACUGGCUCGUUUCUGACGCUGAGGCGCGAAAGCGUGGGGAGCAAACAGGAUUAGAUACCCGUGUAGUC
This 441-nucleotide ribosomal RNA is filed under the name uncultured Alphaproteobacteria bacterium. Its description in RNAcentral is "bacterial SSU rRNA". It matches the Rfam family "Bacterial small subunit ribosomal RNA", at positions 337 to 795 of the family's 1533-position model. The record is from RNAcentral. Lineage: Bacteria; Pseudomonadati; Pseudomonadota; Alphaproteobacteria.